Molecule: non-coding RNA, 362 nt
Organism: Pimephales promelas (fathead minnow)
Lineage: Eukaryota; Metazoa; Chordata; Actinopteri; Cypriniformes; Leuciscidae
Source: RefSeq, a predicted model, not a curated record
UGAAUUUGAUCCUUUAAUUAUACUUUUUAUUUAUUUUUUUUCUUUCUCCUUACAUAUUUGCACUUCAUAUCCCACAAUCCUUUUGUCAGUUUCACUACAUUACCCAUACACCCCCUGGGCAAGGUCUAUAAGUAGACCUCACUUCCUCCCUUUUUUCCUUUUGUAUUGGUGAGGUGUGGUGGUUGGAAUGGACACCCAACCAUGUCCUUUCCUUAGGAUGCGUUGAUGACUAAAGACCAUCUUGUACGUCCUGUUUAUCCUGUCCCUCCAUUAACAUCUGUUCAUUGGCAUCAUGUGUGUCAGCUCCAUGUGAAUUAAGACUUUAUCAUCCUGAACUGAAAAUAAAAGAGAGCAAAGGACUG